GGUUAAUCUGUCCAACUUUUUGGGGUCAGUACACCCACGAGGCCACCUGUAUGCCUAGACAACAUCAGGAUAGCCUCUUAGAUGCCGCAAGGCAAGGAGAAGAAGGCCAUG
Molecule: antisense RNA, 111 nt
Filed under: Enterobacter cancerogenus
Lineage: Bacteria; Pseudomonadati; Pseudomonadota; Gammaproteobacteria; Enterobacterales; Enterobacteriaceae
Description: sok
Rfam family: sok antitoxin (CssrC)
About the family: Also identified in Shigella as CssrC.
Source: RNAcentral